GUUGCAUGUUGCAUGGAAAUUGAUAAUAUCACGUACAGAAGGAGAACCGUACUUCUUUACAUUUGGAAAAUCAGAGGGGGACUCACUCCUUGCUGCUCUUCCAAUGACAGUUUCUCUUUUAUGUUCUUAAUUUUCUGAUGUUGGAAAGGCUUAUAUGAGCAAAUUGGCAUGACAGGUUUUUGGUGCUCUUAUCAUUGAAAAGCUUCUUUCUGUUCCUACCAUGCCCAUGUACCAGUAGUAUAGAACAUUUGAGCCAAAGUCUAUGAGGUCUCAUCACCAAUUUCUAUAUGUUUUCUUUUGAUUAUAUCGAUGUUGAUUCUCACCUCUUCAUCAUCCUCUCAUCCUCU
Molecule: long non-coding RNA, 347 nt
Organism: Lotus japonicus
Lineage: Eukaryota; Viridiplantae; Streptophyta; Magnoliopsida; Fabales; Fabaceae
Exons: 4
Source: RefSeq, a predicted model, not a curated record